RNAcentral lists this ribosomal RNA (775 nucleotides) under uncultured Neocallimastigales. Its description in RNAcentral is "partial large subunit ribosomal RNA". It matches the Rfam family "Eukaryotic large subunit ribosomal RNA", at positions 23 to 648 of the family's 3401-position model. Lineage: Eukaryota; Fungi; Neocallimastigomycota; Neocallimastigomycetes; Neocallimastigales. The record is from RNAcentral.
AGAGAUGUGUGAUGACGCAUAUCAAUAAGCGGAGGAAAAGAAACUAACAAGGAUUCCCUUAGUAACGGCGAGUGAAGCGGGAAGAGCUCAAAUUUGAAAUCUUCAAGGUUCUACCUUGACGAAUUGUAGUUUAAAGAAGUGUUUUCUGUUAGUGGAGUGGCAAAAGUUCUUUGGAAUAGGACAUCAUAGAGGGUGAGAAUCCCGUAUUUGGUCAUUCCUUCUAGCUUUGUGAUACACUUUCAAAGAGUCGGAUUGUUUGGGAAUGCAGUCCAAAAUGGGUGGUAAAUUUCAUCUAAAGCUAAGUAUUGGCGAGAGACCGAUAGCGAACAAGUACCGUGAGGGAAAGAUGAAAAGAACUUUGAAAAGAGAGUUAAACAGUACGUGAAAUUGUCAAAAGGGAAGCGUUUGACACCAGUGUUGUUUUUCCGAAAAUCAAUUACGAAUGUUUUAUUUUUGAGGAGUUAUGACUUCAUCGGCUUGCUCCUUUCUUUAUGAAACUUUCUUAAUGCACUUUUCGGUUAACAAGUCAACAUCAAUUUCUUUUGUUGUAAAAGGGUAUGAGGAAGGUGGCUUUCUUUUCGGAGAAAGUGUUUAUAGCCUUGUGCCUCUGCAAUCGGAGAGAUUGAGGUCUGCAGCGUAGAUCCUUCGGGGUUAGAUACAUUUGUGCUAAGUUAUAGCCUUUCAUAGACAACUUGUUGACUAUGAUUCAGUCUUGUAGCUUACUCGCUUAUGUCAUUUUACCUACGCUUAGGAUGUUGACGAUCAGCUGAGCGCG